This 139-nucleotide small nucleolar RNA is filed under the name Carlito syrichta (Philippine tarsier). Its description in RNAcentral is "Small nucleolar RNA SNORA8 (ENSTSYG00000021666.2)". It matches the Rfam family "Small nucleolar RNA SNORA8". Rfam says of the family: ACA8 is a member of the H/ACA class of snoRNA that guide the sites of modification of uridines to pseudouridines. The record is from Rfam by way of RNAcentral. Lineage: Eukaryota; Metazoa; Chordata; Mammalia; Primates; Tarsiidae.
UGCUCUGUAUGGUAUCAGCACUCAGCAGUUUAUUCUUGCUGGGGUGUUCAAAGGUCAGUGCCAUAGAAAUUCAGUAUCUGGCAUUGUUGGUUUUCUUGGUUUUGUGCACAUUAAAUUUGGUAUUUCUAUUGAUAUAGUG